Molecule: long non-coding RNA, 3289 nt
Organism: Esox lucius (northern pike)
Lineage: Eukaryota; Metazoa; Chordata; Actinopteri; Esociformes; Esocidae
Source: Ensembl
UAUUUUGUAAAAAUCUCAUUUAUUCAUUAACAUUUUCAUAGAGAGAGAUUUAUAUAUACUUUUCACUCUUUCCUCUCCCCCUCCCACCUGCAGGGCCGUGUAGUGAUGACACACACGUUGUGUGAUGAUCCUCAGUGUCAAUGGGGGGGGGGCAGCGGGCGAAACAGCGGGCGAGGGCAUUUCUCGGGAAAGGAGGGAGCGGGGGUAAGGAUGAGAUACAGAGCAUGCCAAGGACAGGUUGGGGUGAGAUUUUGAGGGGUUGGGGGAAGGCUAUACAAACAAAACCACUACUUUUUGUACUGGUAAGAUAACCGCAGAGGGAAGAGGUGAUUGAUUCCUGUCAUAUAGGAAGUUACAUGUGUUGGAAAAAAUAAAUACAAAUGGUGAAUCAGAUGGCAUACUAUUUCCCCAAAUAGUGCAACUUUCACAAGAAUUAAUGCAGACAAAAAUGACAUACUAUAGCUGAAAAUAGUGACGUUGUGGAUUUGGGACGACCAAAUACACACAAACUAGUUUUCAGUGCCUUCCAUGAAUAAAAUUAGAAACAUUGACAUAACUCCAGACAGCUGAGCGAAUACUGAAGUCUGCCUACCAGUUAAAAGCCUCUGAGGACUGACAAUUGAGUAGCCCUUAUCGCACACCAGGUAAUACAGUGAUUCACCUAUAGAAUUUAAACUACAACACAACUAGAACAAGCUGAAUUCAGAGAAAAGUUAUUUAGGGGCCAGCAACCAUAUCUGGUGCUCUUCUUCAGUAAUCCACCAUUCUACUCCACAAACAGUAGCUAAAUAAGGCAAGUUAAUCCAAAGACAUGUUCUUUUAGUUAAACCCUAUCAAAUUGUGACUAUGGCAUCAAAUCUGCCUAGCUCAAUUUUGAAAUGGGCUUACUAGUUCUUCAUUUGGCAUUUUGAUUGGUUUUGCACAAUAGCUCCAAGUUCCUGUCUCCCCUUGACCAACUAUAGGUUCCUAAAGAACAAAUACAUUUUAAAGAAUUCACUUAAAAUCUUGUGGUCGAAGGGUUAUGGUCGGCAACUCUUCAGUGACCUUGAUUUUUCUUGUCUACUGUGAGGCCAACUUUUGUUCAGUCAUAUUCACUGUAGAGUCCGCAAUAUAUUUACUGUCCUUUUGGUUCCUGAAAUGUUAAACAUGUUGCCAGCCAGGCAAUGUAAAUAUAUGUUUCACUGCACAGACGCUGUGUCUGUCUGACUGAAUCACACACUAUAUAGGUGAGAACAAAAUGGAGAUCAUCUCACCUGGCAUUAUCAGAACCUUGGUGAUAGUACUUGGGGGAAAGGAGACCAUUUCUAAGAAUUAGAACAUGUCAAUUAGGCUUUAUCUCUCUGGCCCUUUAAGAGACAUCACUAGAGAAAGAAGAGGUCAAAGGCAAAUUGCACUGCUCCCUAAGGCCACUCUGGAAAGACCUUUCAACCCAAUCAAAAAAGAAGCACCCUUCCUACAGGUAAAAACAAAUCUAAUUCAUUUUUCCACAGCAUUCCCAAAGUAACAUAAGUCACUUCAGCAAUUACAUCAAUGUAUGAUUUUUAACCAUUUUGGAAAAAGGCUUCAUUAAAACUGACUCUAUUACAACCUAAAAGGUUGCUCAGAAUAAUAGAUCAUAUACACUUUCUUGUAAAUCACACCCUGGACCACGCAAACUACACACUUUGAUGGAAUUUAGAAAACAGCCUACCUAUUCAGACCCCAUCACAGCUAUAACUGCCUUUCCUAGUUCUGAAUGGCCUAAAACGCUGUGCCUCCUGGACAUGAGCGGUUAUAGACCAACAGCGAAGCUGGCUCACAAGUAACAGGUUAUGCAGAGUAAAUCACUGGGGUUUUAGGUUCACAUGCGAUGGCUUUUGAUGAAUGUGCCCCAGAAUGACACAUGCUGCCCUAUUGACACCACCAAGUGGCUCAGAUCUCUGUGAUUGAAGAGGACCCUCCACUAAAAUCAUCUGGUAAGUCAUUGCAGCACAUAUGAAUAGCAGGAAUCAAUGUAAAUGCACAUCAGCACAUGCCUAGUGUGCUGAUAUGUAUUGCUAGGUGCGUUCUUUCUUACCGAAGACUACUCUGUAAAUCGUGGGUCAUUCCAUUAAAGCACAGAAUGCUUGGAGUAGCAGCCGAGGCAGACUUCAGACAUGGCCCAUGUCUUCUGUCCAGCCAACAUCCCAGGGACGAUCUUAAAUGCAUACACUACUGCUCUUCGCAAGCUGUUCUGCUCAUUUUGAGGAGAUGACGAGGGAGGAGGCAGAGUAUGAAAUUUAGAUCUUCCACAUAAUGCUUUUGUGCAUACGGCAUGACAACAAUAUUUAUCAAAUUUUACUAAAGCACGUUACAUAGAUCCAGGACCGGGCUUAGUGUCUAAGACUAGAGGUUGAUAUGAAACAGUGCAUAGAUGCUGAUAACAAUCACCCUUUUUCUCUAGCUGGAGGUGUUGAAUAAUGUAAGGCAGCAGUGACCAAUUGGGUUCACCGGUCAGAAACAAUUCCCAUUUUUGGCCUGUGUUGUCUCCAUUUCUGACCUAUAACAUGACAUCUCCAAGUCACUUUGUUAAACUGUGAUACCUCAGACGGAGAGCUGAGGCUUUGACAUGACUGGAUUCACUGACAGUCCUUAGUUCAUGGUGUGACGUUUGCCCACAGGCAGGCCGACGAUUAGCUGAGCUGAACUCACCCCUGGACUAUGUGCACUGCAGAAUCCCUUUAUACAUAUCAGGUAGACAGACUGAGGUGUUUCAGGUAAUGCAUGCUGUCUCACGUAAGGCCAGAUUGUCCACCCGGAAUUUGAAGGGGAAUCUGUUCCUGGACAGGAGACAUCUACCUGGGAUGUUUAAAUGUCAGUGUGAGAAUGACCCUAGCCACGCAUCUACUCAGGGAACUUGACUGUAUGGUCCCGGGGCUGUCCCCGGCUUAACACUUCAAAACAACAGCCCCCUCCAAAAGAAACUGGGUGAGUAAUCAGUGUGAUAACACUUUGAACUAGAGGAAUGAGGGGAAUAUGAAAGUGACAUGGGUGGACAGAAAACUGGAUAAUAGCAUCUGCUAAAUGACAAAAAUUUAAAAAAUUAAAUAAUAAAAAAAUAGAUAAAUGACAACAGGUUAUCUACCAGUAAGGAGUCCAUGGAAAACAACACCUCUCCAUGUUCAUUUCUAAAGCAGCAUGGUAAUCUCAGCCAUACACUGAAAACAUCUGAAGGUACAUUUACAAGGCAAUGUUUUUUUUGUUUUUUUUAAAUAUACUAUUAUGGCAUGUGACCAUUGUCUCAAAAUAUCCCUUUAAAGCAUCACCUCCC